GAUACUCUUUUAACCACAAAACAAAGUGGAAGAAGCAGAAUCACAAACGUAAAUUCACAUAAUCACAUAGUCAUCUUCUUCUUCCUCUUUACAUCUCCAUCACCAGAUUUUUGUUCGAAGGUGUUAAGUUAAAUGGACUCAGCAUCACGUGAGAUUUGGAUAAGAAGUUAAUCCCAUGUCAUUUUCUCUGUUUUUCUUCUUCGUUAAUAAGUUUCUCGGUGACGAAGAUGAGCUCGUGUUCGGCGUUGUGAGAUCUUGAGGUUUUGGGACACAAGAUCUGAAGAAAAAACAAUCUGGAUUCACUAAAAGAGUUCAUCACAUCUCUUUCCAAUAUAAGAUGGGGGUAGAUCCUCGAUGGAGGUGGAGAGAGAGAUGCACGAGAGAAAUCUGAAGGGAAAAAGGGAGAGAUGACGGUGGAACUUCAUCAAUGGGGAGAGAUUAAACAAAAAUCUCAGCAAACUGGUGGCGCGUGGAAAAGGGAGCAGUGGAUCUGGGGAGAGAAGAAAGUAAUUUGAUUUUCAAUUUUUGUUUUGUAAAUUAAAUAAUUAACUUGUAAUUUAUAUUUUAUUUA
Capsella rubella is the source of this 571-nucleotide long non-coding RNA. RefSeq lists it as uncharacterized. The transcript is spliced from 2 exons. Lineage: Eukaryota; Viridiplantae; Streptophyta; Magnoliopsida; Brassicales; Brassicaceae. The record is from RefSeq and is a predicted model, not a curated record.